Molecule: ribosomal RNA, 429 nt
Filed under: Triticum aestivum (bread wheat)
Lineage: Eukaryota; Viridiplantae; Streptophyta; Magnoliopsida; Poales; Poaceae
Description: partial small subunit ribosomal RNA
Source: RNAcentral
AUGACACGAAAGCUGAAUAAGCAUAUCCAAUCAUAUGCAUAUUGUAAGUCAAAAGUCAAAAUUGACCCAUUAGUUGGACAGCCAGGUGUACCUCAACUGCAGGCGAACCGAGGGAAAAGAAAGCCGAGUCACCUUGAGCACCACGGUCCGGAAGCCAAGAGCAUGAGCAGACCAAAAUCAGAAUGGAUUAACCAGAAAACCCUAGACAAAUCCCUAAAAAACAACAAAGCCCUUGAUGAGCACAUACACACCACAAAGGGAAAGACAAACAAGGGAGCAAAUAAUCACCUCAGCCAUCUUAGAAGCCCACUCGGUGUGCUCUCUCUCCGGCCAACCCGCAAGACAGCCCCAACGCCACGCCACCGUCCCAACCAUGAAACAGCCAGAGAAGCAAGGAAGAUGGUAAGAAACAAGCCAAAUAAAAGGUAA